CAGUCGUACUUAUGGGUAAUCAGCCUUUUGGGUGUGAUUUUGUGGAGCGUGAGGAGUUAAACGCCUUCAUGCCUGCAUAUUCGUGCACUUUGGGUGUACUUGCCCGUGUGUAAGUUAACAUCAAUUUUGGUCGUCAUAAAAUGACUGGAGGAAUGUAGCUUUGGUCUCGUAUCGAAGUGUUAUAGACUCUGGUAGAUGUGACGAUUGGGGAUUGAGGAUUGCAACGGAUACCCUUCGGGGCUACUUGUCUGAUCUCUGAUUGUUGCUCUGGUGCUGAAAGCUUGCUUAUGGCUAU
Molecule: ribosomal RNA, 295 nt
Filed under: Rhizophagus irregularis
Lineage: Eukaryota; Fungi; Glomeromycota; Glomeromycetes; Glomerales; Glomeraceae
Source: RNAcentral